This 107-nucleotide small nucleolar RNA is filed under the name Citrus sinensis (sweet orange). Its description in RNAcentral is "Plant small nucleolar RNA R71". It matches the Rfam family "Plant small nucleolar RNA R71". From Rfam's summary of the family: R71 is a member of the C/D box family of snoRNAs containing the C (UGAUGA) and D (CUGA) box motifs. Multiple nearly identical copies of this snoRNA have been identified in Arabidopsis, and it is thought to function as a 2'-O-ribose methylation guide for 18S ribosomal RNA. The record is from Rfam by way of RNAcentral. Lineage: Eukaryota; Viridiplantae; Streptophyta; Magnoliopsida; Sapindales; Rutaceae.
AUCCUAUAGUAAGGACAUCUCCUGAGUAACUCCUUAAAUAUUUCUCAUGCAUCAUAGAAACUCACAUCUUCAAGUUGAUGGAAAGACGUGAUCUCAUUCCUCAAUUU